RNAcentral lists this ribosomal RNA (486 nucleotides) under uncultured bacterium. RNAcentral's name for it is "partial 16S ribosomal RNA". It matches the Rfam family "Bacterial small subunit ribosomal RNA", at positions 30 to 507 of the family's 1533-position model. The record is from RNAcentral.
AUUGAACGCUGGCGGCAUGCCUUACACAUGCAAGUCGAACGGCAGCACGGGUGCUUGCACCUGGUGGCGAGUGGCGAACGGGUGAGUAAUACAUCGGAACAUGUCCUGUAGUGGGGGAUAGCCCGGCGAAAGCCGGAUUAAUACCGCAUACGAUCUACGGAUGAAAGCGGGGGACCUUCGGGCCUCGCGCUAUAGGGUUGGCCGAUGGCUGAUUAGCUAGUUGGUGGGGUAAAGGCCUACCAAGGCGACGAUCAGUGGCUGGUCUGAGAGGACGACCAGCCACACUGGGACUGAGACACGGCCCAGACUCCUACGGGAGGCAGCAGUGGGGAAUUUUGGACAAUGGGCGAAAGCCUGAUCCAGCAAUGCCGCGUGUGUGAAGAAGGCCUUCGGGUUGUAAAGCACUUUUGUCCGGAAAGAAAUCCUUGGCCCUAAUACGGUCGGGGGAUGACGGUACCGGAAGAAUAAGCACCGGCUAACUACGUG